UAGCUUUGCACAAGAUAGUGAACGACACUUUGCCCAAUCUGGUCCGCGCGCUACGCACCCAAUCUCGCUCGCACACCAGCCGCCGCACAACCCUAGCUCCCACAUUCCCCUCGAUCCACUGCCCCUCCCUCCUCCCCGCUCGUCACCAGGGCCUCGCCGCCGCCUACUCCUCCUCCCCCACCGUUGCUGCUUCCCCACCUCGACUUCCCUCUCUCCGUUGUUUAUCCGGUCGUCGGCGGCGCCUGGUUCCAGAUCUGGCGCAAGUUAGGCCCGGUGGUGGGGCGAAGGGGCAGUGGAGGCGGGCGACCAGGACAAGCAGCUGUCGGCCCGUCGCGGGUGAGGCUCCAAGAGGAGCCAUGAUGGCUUGAUGUAGGAGGAGCCAUGAUGUGUGUGAGGUAGAGGUGGAUCAUUGGAGGUGAAGCAGGUCUCCUUGAUUUGUGCUUCAUCUGCGUUUCACGGGGUACUUAAGCAAUGGUUGCACCCCGCCACAUCACAUACCAGGUGAGAUUAACGGGGACAAUGAUAGUUGAGUUCCGACGAGAGUUAAACAAAUAGUUCACUAACAUUGAUAAUGAUUGGGUAACUCCAUUCUGUAAGUUGCUCUGCCGUUGAAAGCUAUGAUGUGGAAAUUAUAGCUUGGUUCAUAUAGUUGCUCUCAUUAUGCUUUUCUUCAUUUGAAAUCUUUGACAGAUGCUCAGAUUAUAAGAAAGAGAAUUUUAUAAGUCAGGCAUCGAUUGCUCACCUUUGAAGGUUACAGAUUCAAGUGCUAGGCUUUAAGGAUGAAGCAAAUCCCAAUCUAGAAACAUGUGUCGUGCACCAUAUAUUUGUCACCAGAAACGAAUGUGCAGGCGACAGCCAUUUGAUUAGUGUUAUAUCCAACUAAGGUAUCCUUCCACCAAAUGACCACAUCUGAAUUUGUUUAACUACAAUCUGAUGCAAUGGAGUUCUGUAUUGUUCUCAUAGUCCAUCCAUUAUAUUUUUGGCUUUCAAGGCUAGCUGACUGCAGUUUGAUUAUCGAUUCAUCUAUGGCAGCACAGACAGGCGUAUUAUCUUGGAGGCAAUGGCGGGGGGCUGGCACGAGAGGAAGGAUGGGAAUCAGCUACUUGCAUUCGCAUGGAGGAGGCAAUGUCGACGCGAUGGCACAGCAGAGGAGGCUGGGCUCGUUGUGGAGCUUCUUGAGGCAGCAGGACGUCGGCGAGAGCAUCGCUGCCGGCAACGGCUCGAGUGACCUCUUGAGGAUCUUCUCCAUGAGCACCUGUGACGACACCAACUCCAACAUCAUCUUCUCAGCGCCCGGCAGCAAGAAGGCCGAGGUGCUCGGCGACAGCGAUGUCGGCAUGGUCACCAGCUUCAGCAACAUCGACUCCCAGAUUCGGUUAGCCCUCUCGAGCUGGACAUGCCCAGCAUGGACGACUACCUGCAGCUGCAGCAGGACUCCGCCGACUGCAGAGUCCACGCCAAGCGUGGCUGCACCACUGACCCGCAGAGCAUCGCUUGGGAGGGAAAGAAGAACAAGGAUCAAUAAGAGGCUAAGGAGGCUGCAAGACCUCAUUCCCUACAUGGACAAGGUCACAAGAACUGAAUAUACACGUAGGAGAAACUUGAGAGCCAAUAUUAGUGCUAAAGGAUUACUCUGAUUGCCGAUCUAUGCUGUCGCGGCAACACAGGCCAAUACACAUUCAGGAAAUAUGUGACCAACUUCCCCAAGGUCCCGCAUCGUCUACUCAGGAUAUUCUGUGCCCCAAGCCCUACAGAAUAAUGCCCAGUCUAAUUUCAGCAGUGGGCAUGACAGCCUCAAACUUCUCUCUUCAAUAUUGAAGAAGCGGCUUACUCGGAUCAAUGGGCAUGCACUUAGAAAAAUAGCUAAAGAGUACGAGAUAUUCCUAGAGUAAAUAAAGGGCAUGGUGUGCUCAUAAGUUGACAGAAGCAAAAUGUUAUUUAUUAUACUCUUUGUCUUAA
Triticum aestivum (bread wheat) is the source of this 1959-nucleotide RNA transcript. RefSeq lists it as uncharacterized. NCBI's taxonomy places the organism in Eukaryota, Viridiplantae, Streptophyta, Magnoliopsida, Poales, Poaceae. The record is from RefSeq and is a predicted model, not a curated record. The transcript has 9 exons.